UUCUCUCUUACAUUUUCUUGUUUCCCCUGCAAAUGCUGAUCUCCAAGACCGAAAUCCCAUUGUCAUUUUCCCUUUCGCCAAUCACAAAACUCGACCCUUAAUCAAAUACAAUGAAUUGAAUUCCCAGAACUCUUUCCACCUCGGUACAUAUCAGAAAGAAAAAAUGGGUGCUUUUUUAAAGCCAAGUUCAGCCUCUGGGAUGCUUCUUCCCCAGUCCCCUGUUGUUUCUCUAGGCAGACCACUUGGGCAGUUUCCUUUAAUCUUGGGAGGCUCUUCUAACAGGAAAAGGAGGAAUUUACUUACCGGCAAUUGGCGGUGCGGGCGGAGAAUAAUUGCUGCCUCAAAUAGGGUGUGUGUACUGAUGCAUAUUGGAUUAUUGU
Hibiscus syriacus is the source of this 380-nucleotide long non-coding RNA. RefSeq lists it as uncharacterized. The record is from RefSeq and is a predicted model, not a curated record. Lineage: Eukaryota; Viridiplantae; Streptophyta; Magnoliopsida; Malvales; Malvaceae. The transcript is spliced from 3 exons.